AUGUCCUGUCAGCAGCACUGUGGCAGGAGCAUUGGAGUCAGGAUCACAUGGUGGAAGGAGCCCUGUUGUCAGGAUCAUAUGGUGGCAGGAGCAGGAGGUUACAGGAGCACUGGUGCAGGAGCAUUGCAGCAGCAGGAGGAGGGAGUAGGAGCAGGUCAUAGCAGGAGCACUGUGGCAGGAGCACUGUGGGUAGAACAUUGGAAUCAGGAGCAUUGGAGUCAGGAUCACUGGUGGCAGGAGGACUGGUGUCAGGAGCACAGGGUGUCAGGAGCACAUGGUGGAAGGAACACAGGUCUCAGGAGCACUGGUUUUAGGCGCACUGGUUUUAGGAGCACUGAAUAUAGGAGCACGGGAGUCAGGUGCACAAGGUGACAGGAGCAUCUGUUUGCAGGAGCACGGUGUGCCAGGAACACUCAUGUCAGGAGCUGGCCGUGGCUGAUCUUAUUGUCUGCAGUGAGGAAAGGGAGACAGAGAAACAAUGGUGACCUGCAUGCUUUCCUUUCCCAGCCUCUGGCAUGGUGCUACCCAAUUCAGUGUUGGUCUUCCUCUUCAAUUAACCCCUGUAGAAACACCCUCCCAGGCACAGCAAGAUGUCCUUUAGAUGGCUCCAAUUCCCAUUAAGGUCACUAUCAAGAUUCACCACAACACAGGCUCUCUGGGAACCCAGGAUGGGCAUCUCAGCUCUGGCCGAUGGUCCAGACCUACUGCUCUUUGUCUCCUGUCUUAGAAGGGAGGUUCCAGAAGCUCUCUGACUGCAUGGGCCACGAAGGGCUCUACAACACGCUGGCCCGUUUUCCUCUCUGAUGGUUUCUUAGUUAGGUGUUUCAUUGCUGUGAAGAGACACCAUGACCAAGGCAACUCUUAUAAAUGAAAAUAUAUAAUUGGGGC
RNAcentral lists this long non-coding RNA (888 nucleotides) under Mus spicilegus (steppe mouse). Its description in RNAcentral is "lncRNA (ENSMSIG00000023090.1)". Lineage: Eukaryota; Metazoa; Chordata; Mammalia; Rodentia; Muridae. The record is from RNAcentral.